AUUAUUAUUAUUAUUAAUGAUUUUCUUUCUUUGAUCUCAGUUGGCACAUGAUAGAAUCAGUUUGAUUUUAUGAAUAAAUAGGUAGCAUAUCUAAUCUUAUAGCAUAAAGUAAUUUAUUUAUGUUCAUCAUAGUCCAAACAGAAAUCAGCUUCACUUUUUGAUUUUGAUAUAAUCAGCUUUCACUUUCCGAUGAAGAUUAUAUUUUGAUGAUUAAAGAAAUUGCUUGAGUUGUGCUGCUGCCCUUACUGGUAGUGAUUUAUUUUGCAGGUAAUUUAGGGUGGCAGUACAUGGUCAGUACACUUUGACUGAUAUAUAUAUAUAUAUAUAUAUAUAAGAAAAUUGUAGACAUAUAUGGCGUUUCAGAACAGUAGAGAUUUGCAUUUUGUUUGAGUUUGGAUUGUGAAGUAGAGAUGAUUGAGUGAGCUCAUAAUAAUCCAAAUUCCACAUGCUCUUCGCUUUGCUUUGUUCGUAUCCAUGAAAGCUAAGUUCUCUCUUUCAAGGUUGGUUUUGGCACGUGGGUUUUAACGUUCGAGUUCUUCCAUGAAGGCAGGCAUUGUAAUUUAUGAUUUGAGGUAAACACUGCACAGCAUGAAGUUAGUCAUAGGUUCUGCACGAUCAAUGACUGAAAAAUAUGCCAAGGCUGGAGCUGGAGAAAGCAGUUGUAGCUAUCAAUGCACUGAAACUAAAGUUGAUUCAACGAUGGUAUUAGCAGUUGAUUUAUUUGAUUUUUAUGUUGUUUGUUUUGGAUUCGUUAUUCUUCAUACUAAAUUGUUUGAUGAAUUUAUGGUUUUGUUCUAUGAAAAUCCUUUUGUUUUCACAUGUUGCCCUGCUAAACUAGUAGCACUC
Long non-coding RNA from Gossypium raimondii (Peruvian cotton), 846 nucleotides. RefSeq lists it as uncharacterized. The transcript has 3 exons. NCBI's taxonomy places the organism in Eukaryota, Viridiplantae, Streptophyta, Magnoliopsida, Malvales, Malvaceae. The record is from RefSeq and is a predicted model, not a curated record.